CUGAGCCCCUCUGGGCCUCCAGGGUGACGAGGAGCCGUGCCCUGGGGGCAGUAUUUUUAGUUCCCUGUGUCUGGUCCCAGCUGCUCUGGACACCUCUCCCCACCCCCAGCCCCGCGCUUGGCAGAAGGCUCCAGGAGGACAGCUGGGGAGAAGGGGAGACGUGCCCAGAGGAGUAAAAAGCAGCCCCACCCUGUGGCCCCUCAGGUUGGUCUGAGGGUCCCAGGAGGCACAGGCAGGAGCGCGUUGGAAAACGGCGUUGCCAGCGCUGUGGACAUAAAGCAGGACCUACUGGUGCUGAUGUUUCCGGGGGUAAGCGGCGAUGUGUCCAGGGGCCGGGCCCGGCCUGGGGCAGCCGACUGCUACCCCCAUCUCCUUCCGCCCUCCCCACCCACACCGCUGGGCUUGCCCUCCAGCCAGUGACCAGAAGCAGGGGCAGAAGCUGCUGAGGCCGUGAGUUGCCUCUCCCUGUGACCCUGGGCCUGGCACAGAGCCGACCCUCGGUACCGGGCUGUUGAAUGAAGGAAGGAGGGAAGGAAUGAUAGCCCCCUGGAAAUCGUUAUGGCAUUUUUAGCUACGCAGGCUCCACCGUUAAAGCUGGAUGGGCUCUGAGGCUGAGCGGCCCGGCUUACUGGGUUAACGUGGAG
Molecule: long non-coding RNA, 644 nt
Filed under: Equus caballus (horse)
Lineage: Eukaryota; Metazoa; Chordata; Mammalia; Perissodactyla; Equidae
Description: lncRNA (ENSECAG00000052813.1)
Source: RNAcentral